GCUUGCUUCUCUGAUGUUAGCGGCGGACGGGUGAGUAACACGUGGAUAACCUACCUAUAAGACUGGGAUAACUUCGGGAAACCGGAGCUAAUACCGGAUAAUAUUUUGAACCGCAUGGUUCAAAAGUGAAAGACGGUCUUGCUGUCACUUAUAGAUGGAUCCGCGCUGCAUUAGCUAGUUGGUAAGGUAACGGCUUACCAAGGCAACGAUGCAUAGCCGACCUGAGAGGGUGAUCGGCCACACUGGAACUGAGACACGGUCCAGACUCCUACGGGAGGCAGCAGUAGGGAAUCUUCCGCAAUGGGCGAAAGCCUGACGGAGCAACGCCGCGUGAGUGAUGAAGGUCUUCGGAUCGUAAAACUCUGUUAUUAGGGAAGAACAUAUGUGUAAGUAACUGUGCACAUCUUGACGGUACCUAAUCAGAAAGCCACGGCUAACUACGUGCCAGCAGCCGCGGUAAUACGUAGGUGGCAAGCGUUAUCCGGAAUUAUUGGGCGUAAAGCGCGCGUAGGCGGUUUUUUAAGUCUGAUGUGAAAGCCCACGGCUCAACCGUGGAGGGUCAUUGGAAACUGGAAAACUUGAGUGCAGAAGAGGAAAGUGGAAUUCCAUGUGUAGCGGUGAAAUGCGCAGAGAUAUGGAGGAACACCAGUGGCGAAGGCGACUUUCUGGUCUGUAACUGACGCUGAUGUGCGAAAGCGUGGGGAUCAAACAGGAUUAGAUACCCUGGUAGUCCACGCCGUAAACGAUGAGUGCUAAGUGUUAGGGGGUUUCCGCCCCUUAGUGCUGCAGCUAACGCAUUAAGCACUCCGCCUGGGGAGUACGACCGCAAGGUUGAAACUCAAAGGAAUUGACGGGGACCCGCACAAGCGGUGGAGCAUGUGGUUUAAUUCGAAGCAACGCGAAGAACCUUACCAAAUCUUGACAUCCUUUGACAACUCUAGAGAUAGAGCCUUCCCCUUCGGGGGACAAAGUGACAGGUGGUGCAUGGUUGUCGUCAGCUCGUGUCGUGAGAUGUUGGGUUAAGUCCCGCAACGAGCGCAACCCUUAAGCUUAGUUGCCAUCAUUAAGUU
Molecule: ribosomal RNA, 1070 nt
Filed under: Staphylococcus sp.
Lineage: Bacteria; Bacillati; Bacillota; Bacilli; Caryophanales; Staphylococcaceae
Description: bacterial SSU rRNA
Rfam family: Bacterial small subunit ribosomal RNA
Source: RNAcentral